UGGGGAAUAUUGGACAAUGGGCGCAAGCCUGAUCCAGCCAUGCCGCGUGAGUGAUGAAGGCCCUAGGGUUGUAAAGCUCUUUCACCGGUGAAGAUAAUGACGGUAACCGGAGAAGAAGCCCCGGCUAACUUCGUGCCAGCAGCCGCGGUAAUACGAAGGGGGCUAGCGUUGUUCGGAUUUACUGGGCGUAAAGCGCACGUAGGCGGACUUUUAAGUCAGAGGUGAAAUCCCGGGGCUCAACCCCGGAACUGCCUUUGAUACUGGAAGUCUUGAGUAUGGUAGAGGUGAGUGGAAUUCCGAGUGUAGAGGUGAAAUUCGUAGAUAUUCGGAGGAACACCAGUGGCGAAGGCGGCUCACUGGACCAUUACUGACGCUGAGGUGCGAAAGCGUGGGGAGCAAACAGG
RNAcentral lists this ribosomal RNA (404 nucleotides) under Actinomycetes bacterium. RNAcentral's name for it is "Actinobacteria bacterium partial 16S ribosomal RNA". It matches the Rfam family "Bacterial small subunit ribosomal RNA", at positions 355 to 776 of the family's 1533-position model. Lineage: Bacteria; Bacillati; Actinomycetota; Actinomycetes. RNAcentral also lists the same sequence under 1 other name. The record is from RNAcentral.